GGGCUCAUAGCUCAGCUGGUUAGAGCGCAUCCCUGAUAAGGAUGAGGUCGGAGGUUCAAGUCCUCCUGAGCCCA
Molecule: transfer RNA, 74 nt
Filed under: Aeriscardovia aeriphila
Lineage: Bacteria; Bacillati; Actinomycetota; Actinomycetes; Bifidobacteriales; Bifidobacteriaceae
Rfam family: tRNA
About the family: Transfer RNA (tRNA) molecules are approximately 80 nucleotides in length. Their secondary structure includes four short double-helical elements and three loops (D, anti-codon, and T loops). Further hydrogen bonds mediate the characteristic L-shaped molecular structure. tRNAs have two regions of fundamental functional importance: the anti-codon, which is responsible for specific mRNA codon recognition, and the 3' end, to which the tRNAs corresponding amino acid is attached (by aminoacyl-tRNA synthetases). tRNAs cope with the degeneracy of the genetic code in two manners: having more than one tRNA (with a specific anti-codon) for a particular amino acid; and 'wobble' base-pairing, i.e. permitting non-standard base-pairing at the 3rd anti-codon position.
Source: Rfam by way of RNAcentral